Molecule: long non-coding RNA, 584 nt
Filed under: Homo sapiens (human)
Lineage: Eukaryota; Metazoa; Chordata; Mammalia; Primates; Hominidae
Description: non-protein coding lnc-LRRC4C-2:2
Source: RNAcentral
UAAUUUACAUUUCUAGAGAACAAGCUCUUUAUGGUACAUAGAAAUAAUCCUGUCAUACAGUGACCAUUCAGAGAGGGAUAAAAACCUUAUAUAUGAAACUUUCACUAAUAACCUGAAACAUCACCACAGAGACAGUUGGGUUAUCCUGUUUGUUUGGACAUCCACUUAUUCACUUGAAAUGCAGGAAAUCUAUUUGAAAAAAACAAAACAAAACAUGAUCAGUUACUUGAUACAAUCAUGAGAUGUGAUCGAGAAAAACUUAUUAAGGAAUUAUUUUGUCAGAGUCAGUCUCUCUCAACAAGAUUUACAGGCCAGUUGUUGACAUUGUAGUAUCCUCUCUUUGAACACUGGAAUUGAGCAACUUCAAAGAGUCAUUGGACCAAGGUCUUCAUGCUUCAAAUAAACCUGCAUCAAAGAAACCUGGCUAGAAGACAAAGAUCAUGCUUUAUUCCCCCACAAAAGGAUUAUGUUUAGAUUUAAUGUUGAUGCCUCAGUUAAGUGCUCACUUUGAAAAUCAAUACAACAUUGUGUGCUUGGUUGGCUCAAUACCUCUCAGUCAAUAUUAAUAAAAAAACAGCAACAAA